This 494-nucleotide ribosomal RNA is filed under the name uncultured bacterium. Its description in RNAcentral is "partial 16S ribosomal RNA". It matches the Rfam family "Bacterial small subunit ribosomal RNA", at positions 28 to 507 of the family's 1533-position model. The record is from RNAcentral.
GACGAACGCUGGCGACGCGCUUAACACAUGCAAGUCGAACGGAAAGGCCUGCUUUCCCUUGUGGAUUGCGGGUACUCGAGUGGCGAACGGGUGAGUAACACGUGAGUGAUCUGCCCCCAACUUGGGUAUAAGCCUGGGAAACUGGGUCUAAUUCCCGAUAGGACUGCAGGGUGGUGCCUGUGGUGGAAAACGAUUUUCUAGUGGUUGGGGAUGAGCUCGCGGCCUAUCAGCUUGUUGGUGGGGUAAUGGCCUACCAAGGCGGCGACGGGUAGCCGGCCUGGGAGGGUGGACGGCGACAUUGGGACUGAGAUACGGCCCAGACUCCUACGGGAGGCAGCAGUGGGGAAUAUUGCACAAUGGGCGGAAGCCUGAUGCAGCGACGCCGCGUGGGGGAUGACGGCCUUCGGGUUGUAAACUCCUUUCGACCGCGAGGAAGCCACCUGGUUGGAAGGGUGGUGACGGUAGUGGGAGAAGAAGCACCGGCUAACUACGUG